This 203-nucleotide microRNA precursor is filed under the name Oryza rufipogon (brownbeard rice). Its description in RNAcentral is "MIR812 microRNA precursor family". It matches the Rfam family "MIR812 microRNA precursor family". The record is from Rfam by way of RNAcentral. Lineage: Eukaryota; Viridiplantae; Streptophyta; Magnoliopsida; Poales; Poaceae.
AAUAAGUUUAUUUAUGGGUUUGUCUUCAAUACUUGACCAUCCGUUUUAUUUAAAAUUUUGUUAUGAUCAGUAUUUUUGUUGUUAUUAGAUGAUAAAAACAUGUAUAAUAUUUUGUGUGUGAGUUAUUUCUUUUAAUUUUUUAUAUUUUUUUAAAUAAAACGGACGAUCACCCGUUAAAUACAGAAUACAUAAAUAAACUUAUU